RNAcentral lists this unclassified non-coding RNA (596 nucleotides) under uncultured fungus. RNAcentral describes it as "sequence contains ITS1, 5.8S rRNA gene and ITS2". The stretch from base 228 to 381 matches the Rfam family "5.8S ribosomal RNA". The record is from RNAcentral. Lineage: Eukaryota; Fungi.
CUUGGUCAUUUAGAGGAAGUAAAAGUCGUAACAAGGUCUCCGUUGGUGAACCAGCGGAGGGAUCAUUACAGAGUUGCAAGACUCCCAACCAUUGUGAACCUACCUCACCGUUGCUUCGGCGGGUGGCCCACACCGGGGCCGCGCCGGCCCCCGGGCCGGCAACCCGUCAGAGGACCGAAACUCUUAGUCAUCAUUGGCCUCUCUGAGUAGCUUAUACAAUAAGUCAAAACUUUCAACAACGGAUCUCUUGGUUCUGGCAUCGAUGAAGAACGCAGCGAAAUGCGAUACGUAAUGUGAAUUGCAGAUUUCAGUGAAUCAUCGAAUCUUUGAACGCACAUUGCGCCCUUUGGUAUUCCGAAGGGCAUGCCUGUCUGAGCGUCAAUAAAUCAAUCAAACCUUGGUUUGGUAUUGGGAGAAGUGGUUUUGCCUCUCUCCUUUAAGCUAUUGGCGACACUAUUUAGCUUGUAAGAUGUAGUAAGUAAUUCCUCAUCAAAGCAACUGAAUGGCUGUCUGCCAAAUGAACGAUUUAUUUUACAGCUUGACCUCAGAUCAGGUAGGGAUACCCCCUGAACUUAAGCAUAUCAAUAAGCGGAGGA